CCAGUGUUCCCUUUAGGACUCUGGAUGGCAUAGAGGAAAGCAUCCCAGACUGAGGAGAGGUUCCAGCAGCUGCAAAAUGUUGGGGUAGCAAAAAGGCCCAGCUCAGUAGUGGAGGGAAGAUGCAUUACCUCAGAGGGAGUCCAAGAGGAUGCAUUGCUGCUACUUAAGACAGAUGUCAUAUGCCAACACAGUAUUCAGCAAACAUUAAAACUGACAACCAGAAAUGGCCCUGUGGGUUCAGGCGCCAUCCUGCAAACUAGCUCUCUCUACAAUGUGUCUGAGAGAAUUCAGGAUUGAGACUCAGGAGUCAGUAGAAGACCUACACCUUUGCUCCAAUUGUGUUUCUGCUCCUCUGCCUCAGAUGUCAUCAGAUGCUUACGCCAAGGGCAACAAGGAAAGGCUACGUGAGGACACAGCAAGGAAGUGACCAUCUGCAGGCCAGGAGGAGAACCCUCCCCAGACACUGAACUGGGGACUGCUAGCCUUCAAAACAUGAGAAAUUUCUGUUCAAACCACCCAGUCUGUGGUAUUUUAUGUCAGCCUGAGCUGACUAAUACACAUUCCUUACUCCAGCCAAGUUUUUCUUGUGGGCAUUUCAUUGUAUAAUGCCCUCUUCCCCUGACCACAGUGUGGCCCUGACUCAAACUGAGCCAAUCAGAGUCCCUCUUGAAGAUUUUUCAAAUUGAGACAAAAAGGAAGAGGGCACAGGGGAAGUUGAAGACGUCAUUUUAGAGUUGCCAGUGGUGAGGACUCGAGCAAGGCACAAGAAGCCAGUCUGGGAGAAUGAAGCUAAAAUUCCAAGAGAAGCAGAAAUAACACAGAGAGAGAAGGAGAGAUUCCUGGCUGUGGUCAGGGCCUUGGUUCUAGUUGUUUUUGUGGCCCAACUGCAUGUCUCUCCUUCAGUAAUUUGAUAAUAAGCCUAUUAAUUCCUUUUAGCCCAGGCUAGCUUAAAUUGGGUCUCUGUCAUUCACAACUUAAAGUGUUCCUUAAGGCAGGAAGCAUGACUCCUGAGCUUAAUGUAACUCAAGACUCAGAGACAUUCGGUAAGAAGAAAAUUGCCUAAUGGAUAUGCAGCCCAUUCACUCUCCUAUACAUCUGCUUUCCCAAAAUUGUGCUUCAUCAUAGUAUCAACAUUCUACAUUGGUGCUCAGUAUUAGAAGCAAACCCAUAACACUGUUAUAAUUUUUUAAGACUCCUGGAGAUGUUGUACAUGAUACAGUGUCUUUUUUAAAGAUGAAUAAGAUAAAUAUAUUUCUAGUUGGAGGCUCUAAGUCUGUUUUUGAGGAGUAACUUUAGUGAAAGGUGAAUGGGAUUGGAUUCAGACACUAGAUUUCAAGUCAGGCCCUGCCACUUAGAAGCGGUGUGAGUGCUCAGAAAAACUAAGGGCAUUUGUGAAGUAAAAGUAAAUACUGUGUGUCCUACAUAUCUCACAUUGUUGUUGUCAGCCAAUGUAGGUACAAAGUGCUUGGUAAAGUAGGAACCAUAAAUAAUUGUGAUUCAUCGGUUCCAAUCCUCCUUUUACCAUGAAUUUCAAGAUAAAUUUUUCACUGUCUUUUUUUUUUCUUUCUGUACAGGAGCUCCAAAUAUUGCUGUUUGGAGAAAUCUGCACCUUAAUAAGAGCAGUUAUUUGUGAGAAAAAAAAAAGACAAGAAUAUAUAUGAGAUGGCACUUCUUUUACUAUGUGUGGAGACUCCUCUACUUACAAAUAGAUUCGUCCUGAAGAUAGUGUGUAAGUCCAUUUGUUCUCAAGUCCGAAGGGACCAGUAAAGGUAUUACCAUCUGUUGGUGGUAGGCAAAGAUAAGAGUUCUUUUUCUUUAUCUAGAUUUCUAAAUAGAAAGUCCAUAAGCAGGCGAGCUUGAGUGCUAAAUUCUUAGACACUGAGUUUGCUUCUAAACUAUUACAUAGAGCUAACCAUUUAUCUAAUUUUCUAUCUUAUUU
RNAcentral lists this long non-coding RNA (1939 nucleotides) under Homo sapiens (human). Its description in RNAcentral is "HSALNT0163190". Lineage: Eukaryota; Metazoa; Chordata; Mammalia; Primates; Hominidae. The record is from RNAcentral.